CAUAUUUCUACCACUGUGGUAAAUGAUCACUGGCUAAUUUAUGCAUAAUAUUAAAAAGUAGGUUUAGGUGGAAAAAUUAUGAUUGAUUUCCCCUCCUAUCACCAUCCCCUUUCCUUCCCUCUACACACACUUUGUUUUUUGUCUUAUUGUUUCUACAAAAAAUAUAUAUAUAAAAUAUCAACAUGAUUUAACCGUAACUGUUCAAGUAAAAAGAAAAGAAAUAUAAGAGAAAUUAAGAGUAAAGAGAAUCCUCCUCCUUAACUAAGACACCAAUGUAACGUAUACAAAUGGUUUAGGGAGGCUGCCGACGUGAUGAGAUGAGCACCCUAUGCGACAAGCUUUGUUGAUAAAACGUAAAAAACGUGCACCAAUUUCAGGAACCAACAGUCAUAUUUUGACAAAUUAUAUUUGGGAAAAUAGCUAUAAUCAUAUUUUGACAUUUAGUUUGCAUAAGUCUUAUUUUUCAGUAAUGACGAUCUAUUAAUUAUAUAAUUACAACGACAUAAUGAUGACAUAACAACAAUACAAUGAAGAUAUAAUGACAACAUAAUAAAUAAAUACUGAUCAUUUUUGCAAUGAAAUGUCAAAAUAUGUUUAUAGCUAGUUGUCCAUCAUAUUUUUAUGAUCAGACUGUUUUUGUAAACAUGUGUCAAGUAUUGAUACAUCAUCUUGAGAGGUCUUCCGUCUCUGAAAUAUAAUGAGCUUCACUUAAUUUUUAUAGUACUGUUGGAGGUUUUAUUUUAUUUUAUUUUAUUUUUUGCAGUACAAGUGAUCUUUCACAAUAAUGAAUGGGAGGAUUUGAAUCUACAAUGGAACGAGUUGAAGACGAAAGCUCUAACCAUCAUAGCGAUCUAUUACUUUCAAUAUUAUCGGAAUUAGUGUCAGACUUAUUGAUUUGGUUCUGCACUUAAGAAAAUUGGGAAUAAAGUUAGCAAAUGGUGAGAAAUAUGUUGCUUCUAAGCCGAUUGACCAGAAAGAAAUUGUUGCUUCUAGUUGUAGGCUAAUGCUUGCCUAUAUUGUUGUUUUUAUCAGCGUAAUGAAUCAAAGACCUAGCAAUAGUAUCAGUAAUUUAAUUAACGCAGUGAUUCCACCGUAACGAUUAUGGAACCAAAACAAAACGAAUAAAAACAAAAUAAAAUAAAAUGUGUUUACUACUAUUUGGACACAUGCAAUGGGCACGUGUAGGACUGAUUGUCCAUUAUGUUCAUGAACCGACCACGCUGCUACACAAGUCAAGGCCGGAAAGCUGGAGAAAAUUGACUCUUUGCUCCAAGAAACGUGUCGGAGACUUGGAGGUUUUGUAUUUUUUUUAUUUUUUUUACAUUGAUAUUUUUAUAUUAAGGGAUUGAAGACUUGAAGGUAAGUUCAGUGCUCAAAUUUUGACUUCAUACCCAAACGUCACUAAUUUACAGGGCGGUAUAACGGGUUUUUAAAGUUCAAUUCUUGAUAAAAAUUAAAAUUUAGUGUUCAAAUUACAUAUUGAGUUUAGUCCUUUAAUGUGUAUUUUAUUUUAAACUUAUUAAAUUUUUGCUUUAAUGUUUAAUGAGUAUUUUACUGAAUAACUCUUCGUUGAAUUUAAAAUUUAUUAUUUACAUAUUUUAAUUCAUUAAUUUGGCUUAACUUUCUCAAAUGAUUUUCUUAUAAAUUACCUAAAUGAGAAGAAAUUGUGACACAUUAUAAUAAAUGAAAACUAAUGAAAAAUAUUUCAAAAUUUUGAAUUUUAACAAAAAAAAAAAAAAAAAAAAAAAAAAAAAAAACUAAACUCAACCAAUUCUUAACUAAUGAUAAAAACAAAAGAAAGAAAAAACAAAAAAAACUUAACUAAAGCGUGUGCAAAGAAUACGCCAACCAAUUCUUCACAAUUUUAAAAUGUUUACCUAAUAAAGGAUCAUGAAAAUAUUUUU
RNAcentral lists this long non-coding RNA (1904 nucleotides) under Malus domestica (apple). RNAcentral's name for it is "long non-coding RNA (MDOM_LNC015043)". Lineage: Eukaryota; Viridiplantae; Streptophyta; Magnoliopsida; Rosales; Rosaceae. The record is from RNAcentral.